UGCAUCUGCAGCCCAUGAGGAUGAGAACCUCCGGGGGCAGGGAGGUUCGACUCGAGCGAAGCGAGAGAACGUUGCGCCAGCAACGGCCCGCAGGGCGAGCCACGAAGUGGCGAGUAAUCCUCUAUCACCG
Molecule: small RNA, 130 nt
Filed under: Escherichia coli
Lineage: Bacteria; Pseudomonadati; Pseudomonadota; Gammaproteobacteria; Enterobacterales; Enterobacteriaceae
Description: RtT sRNA
Rfam family: RtT RNA
About the family: This family represents a bacterial cis-regulatory element known as RtT RNA.
Source: RNAcentral